UAAAGCCAAGUAUCAGGUGAGAUCCUA
Molecule: non-coding RNA, 27 nt
Filed under: Homo sapiens (human)
Lineage: Eukaryota; Metazoa; Chordata; Mammalia; Primates; Hominidae
Source: RNAcentral